This 449-nucleotide ribosomal RNA is filed under the name uncultured bacterium. RNAcentral describes it as "partial 16S ribosomal RNA". It matches the Rfam family "Bacterial small subunit ribosomal RNA", at positions 354 to 796 of the family's 1533-position model. The record is from RNAcentral.
GUCGAGAAUCUUUCACAAUGGGGGCAACCCUGAUGGAGCGACGCCGCGUGGAGGAUAAGGUCUUCGGAUUGUAAACUCCUGUCAUGCGUGAACAAGGUUGCUUGGUUAAUACCUGGGCAAAUUGAUGGUAACGCAAGAGGAAGAGAUGGCUAACUCUGUGCCAGCAGCCGCGGUAAUACAGAGGUCUCAAGCGUUGUUCGGAAUCACUGGGCGUAAAGGGUGCGUAGGUGGCGUGGUAAGUCAGAUGUGAAAGCCCGGGGCUCAACCUCGGAACUGCUUCCGAUACUGCCAUGCUAGAGUACUGGAGAGGUGACUAGAAUUCUCGGUGUAGCAGUGAAAUGCGUAGAUAUCGAGAGGAAUACCAAAGGCGUAGGCAGGUCACUGGACAGUUACUGACACUGAGGCACGAAGGCCAGGGGAGCGAACGGGAUUAGAAACCCCGGUAGUCC